AUUGAACGCUGGCGGCAGGCCUAACACAUGCAAGUCGAGCGGAUGAAGGGAGCUUGCUCCUGGAUUCAGCGGCGGACGGGUGAGUAAUGCCUAGGAAUCUGCCUGGUAGUGGGGGAUAACGUCCGGAAACGGGCGCUAAUACCGCAUACGUCCUGAGGGAGAAAGUGGGGGAUCUUCGGACCUCACGCUAUCAGAUGAGCCUAGGUCGGAUUAGCUAGUUGGUGGGGUAAAGGCCUACCAAGGCGACGAUCCGUAACUGGUCUGGGAGGAUGAUCAGUCACACUGGAACUGAGACACGGUCCAGACUCCUACGGGAGGCAGCAGUGGGGAAUAUUGGACGAUGGGCGAAAGCCUGAUCCAGCCAUGCCGCGUGUGUGAAGAAGGUCUUCGGAUUGUAAAGCACUUUAAGUUGGGAGGAAGGGCAGUAAGUUAAUACCUUGCUGUUUUGACGUUACCAACAGAAUAAGCACCGGCUAACUUCGUG
RNAcentral lists this ribosomal RNA (484 nucleotides) under uncultured bacterium. RNAcentral's name for it is "partial 16S ribosomal RNA". It matches the Rfam family "Bacterial small subunit ribosomal RNA", at positions 30 to 507 of the family's 1533-position model. The record is from RNAcentral.